GGGGGUAUGGCGCAGCUGGUAGCGCGUCUGCAUGGCAUGCAGAAGGUCACGGGUUCGAGUCCCGUUACCUCCA
This 73-nucleotide transfer RNA is filed under the name Nesterenkonia flava. RNAcentral's name for it is "tRNA-Ala". It matches the Rfam family "tRNA". From Rfam's summary of the family: Transfer RNA (tRNA) molecules are approximately 80 nucleotides in length. Their secondary structure includes four short double-helical elements and three loops (D, anti-codon, and T loops). The record is from RNAcentral. Lineage: Bacteria; Bacillati; Actinomycetota; Actinomycetes; Micrococcales; Micrococcaceae. RNAcentral also lists the same sequence under 6 other names.